RNAcentral lists this long non-coding RNA (3629 nucleotides) under Homo sapiens (human). RNAcentral's name for it is "non-protein coding lnc-ACSBG1-5:1". The record is from RNAcentral. Lineage: Eukaryota; Metazoa; Chordata; Mammalia; Primates; Hominidae.
UCAACUACUGAUCUUUUUACUAAGGCCCAGGACUUUUUACCCUCCCAUGGUCCCACUGUAUCCCACCUGCCCCCUAGCCCCUAACUGAGGUCUGCUCCACUCUGCUGAGGUCUGUGUUUAGGGGUAAAAUUGCUGACCUCAGUUAGGUCUUAUGGUGGUUCUCCUGCCAGAGGUGGUUGGGUUUCAUUUUUAUUAAAAAAGUGAAAAUAGCUGUUGUAAUUAGACCUGUCUUGUUCUUGAUUAGGUUUAAACUGGUCUCUCCAAGCUGCAUCUGUCAUAAUGAAUACAUCUUGACACUUUCCUUGGACUGGGAGCACUGGCCCCAUACGGAAAGGCUGCUGGUGCAGGCAGGAGUCUGAACCUGCCCUUCUCCUCAGAUGGCUUCCUUGCCCCGUUGGUUCUCAAUUUCCUCAUCUGAGGGGUUGGCUUGCGAAGCCUCUGUAGUGUGGUUCUUUGUUCAUUUUGAGCUUCAGCUCUUUGCUUGUGAAGGAUUUUAUUCUUGGCUUUUGGUGGUGUCAACACAUUAUGGGUUAAUGCUACUAUUAAAAUUUGUCUCUAAUGCAUGAAGCUACUUCAUUGAAAGAGGAAUUUUUGAUAUAGUAUUCAUGGUCAUUAUAAGGAUAGCAGAUUUGGUCCAGCUUAUUGGCAGAGUUAAUAAUAUACUUUCCACUUCAGUGAUUAUACUGUAGAAAUUAACAUCUCAAUUUUGUUUGAAACUUUCCCAUUUCAGACAACAUGCCAAUUUGGCUGGCACGCUGAGCGGCCAUGCCUCCUGGGUGCUGAACGUUGCAUUCUGUCCUGAUGACACUCACUUUGUUUCCAGGUACUUAAUGAUUCUUAGCAGUUUCUAAAAUGCUGGGGAGAUGAGAGCAGUCUUCUUGUAUAGAUUGCCUUAACAUUUAAAGAUGUUUGACCCUUUUUUAUUCAGUUAGCCUUUCUUUUCUGCAGUUCUUAAAAUUUUUAUUUAGUGAUGUUAGUUGACCUUAGCUGGAACAAAAGUCAACAAGUAAUCCUUUUAAACAGUAAAACUCUUAGUUUUUUCAUUAUAAAUUGAGGCUUCUACCAAAGUGACUCUAAGGUAGACUUGUGUUCCAAUGGUAACUUAAAAUAUGUAAAUGUUUGUAAAAUGUUGUUUAUAGAUCCCAGUGUUGGUCAGGCCUGGGAUGGCCAAGACAGUUGGAAAGCAGGAGAUGGACAACUUGAAGGCAUUGCACAGUGCUUUAGAGGCCUCCUGCGAGCCUUGGUUUUGAAGCUUUAACAGGCCUCCCUCCCAUCUGGAAAUAGGUAGCUGUGUCUGAGACUCCUGGAGAACAAUUAAUAUGAGGGCCAGGCAGAUCACAAUUUCAGGAAAAUGGCUACCCUGUGAGGAGAGAAAGCCACCCAAUGAUGCUGAUACCUGGCCAUUUCCUGUACCGAGGCAUGGGGUUGGGGGGUCUGAAGUUAGAAGAAUGUAAGUCAUCAAAGGAUUUUUGGUCGAAGUCCUUCCAACUUCAAACCGAUACUAAUGUUCACUUUUUAAAAUAGUUCGUCUGACAAAAGUGUAAAAGUUUGGGAUGUUGGAACGAGGACUUGUGUUCACACCUUCUUUGAUCACCAGGAUCAGGUAUGGCAUUAUUAUUUCAUCUUUAGAUAGUCGGGGUUGUUUGACCAUUGUACCAAAGAGAUUUUCUUUUCCUGACCUUGUUGCUUGAGCUGUGGAUACCAGUAGAUGCCUGGGCCUGAGCUGCUCUAUCUGCUCAGUCAUCCAUGUAGCCAGAGUUCCUGUGCAGAGUCUGGGGUGCAGAGGCUGGGAUGUGCUGUCAGCCUAGCAACUCACGAGGCAUAUCCCCACAUAGGCUGGAAAACAUGGUGUUAGCCCCACAGCCUUUAAAUGCCGUCUUUGGAAAUUGCUGCAGCUGGUGUCUGGGGCCCUCUCCUGGGGGCUGCUGCGCCAUGGCAGGCUCACCAAGGACCUUCCUCUUCAGGAGAUUCCAUUGCUUAAACACAAUCAUCGCUUGUCAUUUUUGGGACUGUCCAAAGAAGAGAUGUGAUUUUUUUUUUUUUAAUAUAGUAGAAGCUGGAAAUUCAUACAAGUUUUUUGGCUUUAGUGUUAUUGAUAACUUUUCAGUCUUUAAAAGGAAACUGUUCUCACAAGCAACUUUAUCUUUGCCAAGGUGAAUAUGUGAAAUAGCAAAGGUGUUCUAGUGCAAUACUGCUGAGUCUUUCAUGUGUGCUCGUAUCCCCUGGGAACCUGGUGAAAAUGCAGAUGCUGCUUCACUAGGUCUGGCAGAGGGCCUGGGAUUCUGCAUUUCUAACAGGCUUCCAGGUGAGGCCAAGGCUGCUGGUCCUAACCACACUGUAAGGUCUUGGGGAACUGAGCAUAAAAAAUAAAAUGUCCAUGGCAAUAUAAUAUUGGCUUUUAAUAUAUUUUAAAUAUUUUUAGAUGGUCCUAUAGAUUUCUCCUCUUUGAAAUGGAACUUAAAGUUAACUAACAUUGUUCAUGCUUAUUUUUCAACUUAAAUUGUCCCAACAAAAUUGAGGGGGUUCUAUCUUGAUAUUCCACUUCUGGAUUUAAGCAUCUUACUCAGGGAGUAAGUCCUGGCUAGCUGUGUUUCCUUGUAUGUAUGGAUCAUUGCGGUGCUGUGUCAGAGGCUGGAGUGAAAGGCCAUCAUGCAGCCCAAUCCCAACACUAAAAUCAGAGUAGGGUGACAGGCUUACCACCCAGAAUCACCUCCUAAUAAUCAGGAAGUUAUUUAUGAUUAGAGAAACUCCAACCACAUCAAUUCUGUCUGGGAAGGAGGUGUGAAUCAGUUAAUUUAACACAUAGCAAAUAAAAAUCUAUGGUCCACAAUAUCAUGUUGUCUAGCUCCUGGGGACAGGCAGGCUCCAUAGGCCACUAAUAACAGAGUGAGAAUUACUGACUGUGGGGGGCGGACACAAGGGGUCAGCUGAGGAGCGCAGUUUGUGACUUUCCCUAUAGGCAGUGACCUCGGGGUAGUUGUGGGGCUCUUUCUUCCUGGAAGCAUAAAUGUUGGUCUCUUAUGGCUUCCGUCUUCCUGGCAUUAGGUUACACUUCAGGAUUCUGACUCUUUGAAAGGGUUGUAGAUAGUCUUGAUUAGUACUGUAUUUAAAAAUGAUUUUUUUUUUUUUUUUUGGAGUAUGGGAAGGGGCAGGAAUUCUAAUUAAAUAGCAAUAAUGGAAGGUGCUCGGUUAAAGCCUCCAUUCUCACUGAUUUAGAAAGUACAAGAACAUCCUCAUCUCAGUUUUGGUAGAUUCAGAAUAACGAGAAAAUAAGGAUGUUCAUUUCAUAAAUAUUAUAAAGAAUAAAGGCAUUUGUAGAACUAUCUUUUUUUAAAUUUACAGGUCUGGGGAGUAAAAUACAAUGGAAAUGGUUCAAAAAUUGUGUCUGUUGGAGAUGACCAGGAAAUUCACAUCUAUGAUUGUCCAAUUUAAACAUCAAAGUCUCCAGGCUUAUGCUGCAAAGAGAAUGUACGGAUUGAUCAUGACAUUCCUUACCUUCUUAGGCUUGUUUAAAAGAAAUAUAGCAUUUAUUGUAGCAAAGACUUAAAUUUUGUAGAUACAAUAUGAAUCUUUUCAUGUUUUAUUGGAAAUGCUGUUCAUACUUUAACAUAAAGCUUUCUUAAUGCAAA